RNAcentral lists this unclassified non-coding RNA (278 nucleotides) under fungal sp. Its description in RNAcentral is "partial internal transcribed spacer region". The stretch from base 1 to 46 matches the Rfam family "Eukaryotic small subunit ribosomal RNA", at positions 1786 to 1831 of the family's 1831-position model. Lineage: Eukaryota; Fungi. The record is from RNAcentral.
AAGUCGUAACAAGGUCUCCGUUGGUGAACCAGCGGAGGGAUCAUUACCGAGUCACGUGCUCAAACAACCCUUCUGUGGACCUGAACCAAACCGUUGCCUCGGCGGGCGGUCCCCUGGCAAAACCCACGUGGUGUAGGCAGGGGACCAGACAGUCCGGUACGCUUGAGGCGUCCGGCGCCAGCCGCUGGCCCUAAACAACUAAACUCUAGUAACCUUACCUUCUGAGUUUUAAUAAAAAAAAUAAGUCAAAACUUUCAACAACGGAUCUCUUGGCUCUG